RNAcentral lists this ribosomal RNA (339 nucleotides) under uncultured eukaryote. RNAcentral's name for it is "SSU rRNA". It matches the Rfam family "Eukaryotic small subunit ribosomal RNA", at positions 594 to 945 of the family's 1831-position model. The record is from RNAcentral.
AUAGCGUAUAUUAAAGUUGUUGCAGUUAAAAAGCUCGUAGUUGAAUAUCUGGCCGGCACUGUACUGGCUCCCCGAGUCGGUGCAGUGCCUGGUUAUCCGUACGGGAAGCUAGCUCGGCCUUCACUGGUCGGCUAGUGGAUCGUACACUUUACUUUGAAAAAAUUAGAGUGUUUCAGGCAGGCAAUUGCUUGGAUACUGUAGCAUGGAAUAAUGGAAUAGGACUUUGACCUAUUUGUUGGUUUCUUCGAGGUCAAAGUAAUGAUUAAUAGGGAUUGUUGGGGGCAUUCGUAUUUAAUUGUCAGAGGUGAAAUUCUUGGAUUUUUUAAAGACGAACUUAUG